UGGUUGGUGGGUUGAUUACAGGGUUGGUUACAGGUUGGUGGGUUGAUUGCAGGGUUGGUUACAGGGUUGGUUACAGGGUUGGUGGUUUGGUUACAGGGUUGGUGGGUUGGUUACAGGGUUGGUGGGUUUUGGGUUGGUGGGUUGAUUGCAGGGUUGGUUACAGGGUUGGUUACAGGGUUGGUGGUUUGGUUACAGGGUAGGUUACAGAGUUGGUUGGUUACAGGGUUGGUGGGUUGAUUACAGGUUUGGUUACAGGGUUGGUGGGUUGAUUACAGGUUUGGUUACAGGGUUGGUGGGUUGGUUACAGGGUUGGUGGGUUACAGGGUUGGUUGGUU
This is a long non-coding RNA of Oncorhynchus tshawytscha (Chinook salmon), 335 nucleotides long. The record is from Ensembl. Lineage: Eukaryota; Metazoa; Chordata; Actinopteri; Salmoniformes; Salmonidae.